UUAUAACAUAAAAUAAAAGCUCAGUAAAAGUAAAAUACAUUACUAUUUCUUUUGUCAUAGAUCCGGCCUGAGGAGUCCCAGAAACCAACUUCAAGAAGACCACCAGGAGUUUAAUACCAGCCUGGGCAACAUGUCCAUCUGAUACUCUCCGAAAGUUAAACAAGCCAUUCAGGAAAAUGGGAUUGAGUUAUGACAAGCUGAACAGAAGCCCUGAAAGGUCAUGGGCUCAUUUCUUCAUUUAUGAUGAAUUGUCCAGAGUUUCUGCAGACCGACCAAAGGUGAUGAUCCCACAUCAGCAACAAGAGUCAGGAGGAAGACUUCAGAAGCAGGAAUGCAUAGAUCCAAGAAAGGUAAGAUAAAGUCAGACCAGGACAUGGAUCCCAUUCCUGGUUUCAGUCUCUGCUGGGCUCUGC
RNAcentral lists this long non-coding RNA (413 nucleotides) under Pan troglodytes (chimpanzee). Its description in RNAcentral is "lncRNA (ENSPTRG00000054009.1)". Lineage: Eukaryota; Metazoa; Chordata; Mammalia; Primates; Hominidae. The record is from RNAcentral.